UACGUAGGUGGCAAGCGUUGUCCGGAAUUAUUGGGCGUAAAGCGCGCGCAGGCGGUCCUUUAAGUCUGAUGUGAAAGCCCACGGCUCAACCGUGGAGGGUCAUUGGAAACUGGGGGACUUGAGUGCAGGAGAGAAGAGUGGAAUUCCACGUGUAGCGGUGAAAUGCGUAGAGAUGUGGAGGAACACCAGUGGCGAAGGCGACUCUCUGGUCUGUAACUGACGCUGAGGAGCGAAAGCGUGGGUAGCGAACAGG
This 253-nucleotide ribosomal RNA is filed under the name uncultured bacterium. RNAcentral describes it as "partial 16S ribosomal RNA". It matches the Rfam family "Bacterial small subunit ribosomal RNA", at positions 524 to 776 of the family's 1533-position model. The record is from RNAcentral.